Tinamus guttatus (white-throated tinamou) is the source of this 105-nucleotide non-coding RNA. The record is from RefSeq and is a predicted model, not a curated record. Lineage: Eukaryota; Metazoa; Chordata; Aves; Tinamiformes; Tinamidae.
UGAGUCUUCUUGUCUAGCUUUGUCUUGUCCAAAAUCUUAAUCGCUACUUUCUCUGAAAAGAAAAAUGCUUUUCCAUGUUCUUUAAUGCAAUAGAUACAUGCACAG